UGACAGCAGAAAUUUGUAUACUGAAGAAACCAAAGCCAAGGAAUCAAGAGGGAGGAGGAGGAGAAGAAGGUGCAUGUCUGAUUGAUACCUGUAAUAAGAAUUAAGGAGAGGAUGAGGAGAAAAUGACACGACAGACUCGCUUCCUCCUCCUCCAUGUCAAAGCUGCUAUCAUCGAAGAGAAGAAAAGAAGAGGAAUAAGGUUGCAAAUGAACAACUAUGAUAUCCUCCUGACA
Molecule: long non-coding RNA, 233 nt
Filed under: Phoenix dactylifera (date palm)
Lineage: Eukaryota; Viridiplantae; Streptophyta; Magnoliopsida; Arecales; Arecaceae
Description: long non-coding RNA (PDAC_LNC000203)
Source: RNAcentral